Molecule: microRNA, 24 nt
Filed under: Gyrodactylus salaris (gyrodactylosis fluke)
Lineage: Eukaryota; Metazoa; Platyhelminthes; Monogenea; Gyrodactylidea; Gyrodactylidae
Description: gsa-miR-2c-5p
Gene: gsa-miR-2c-5p
Source: miRBase by way of RNAcentral
GGCAUUAAUCAUUGGCUGCAAAUA